This 330-nucleotide ribosomal RNA is filed under the name uncultured eukaryote. RNAcentral's name for it is "partial 18S ribosomal RNA". It matches the Rfam family "Eukaryotic small subunit ribosomal RNA", at positions 1470 to 1796 of the family's 1831-position model. The record is from RNAcentral.
CCCUUAGAUGUUCUGGGCCGCACGCGCGCUACACUGGUACGUUCAACAAGUUUACAACCUUGAUCGAUAGGUCUGGGUAAUCUUUUUAAUGCGUACCGUGCUAGGGAUAGAUUAUUGCAAUUAUUAAUCUCGAACGAGGAAUUCCUAGUAAACGCAAGUCAUCAGCUUGCAUUGAUUACGUCCCUGCCCUUUGUACACACCGCCCGUCGCACCUACCGAUUGAAUGGUCCGGUGAAUCUUUAGGACUGUGGCUGAGGCCUUGCCUUGUGCGGGUCUGGCCGUGGGAAUUUAGUUAAACCUUACCAUUUAGAGGAAGGUGAAGUCGUAACA